AAGUGAAGUUUGUCUCCUUCCAGUUGUUUGCAAGCUGCGGUGCUGGCAGAUACUGUUCAGCUCCUCUGUGCCUGGCAUCAGAAGCAUCACGUCGCAUGACUCGAGAUGCUCUCAGCUGUAAGAGACUGAGGUCUGUCUUACAGCCGAUCAGCACGAGCGGGACACCUCGGCAGAAGUGAUUCACUUCAGGAUACCACUGAUGAUGUUUUUCAGAGACUUAAUAAGGAAGAAAAAGCUACUGAAGCAGUCUGUAGAAGAUCUAUUUACCACCUGAAGGCUGCCCCUAGAAUCAGGUACAUUUCCGUCAGGAACCAAAAUGAGAGGUGGGAAUGUCAGUCCUCUUCAUGGUCACCACCCAGUAUGGACUGUGAACUGUACACAGCCCAGACACUGCCCUACAGGAAAGCAAUAUACCUCAAAGCUUUGCACUGAUGUUUCAAAUAAAGGGAUGCUGAAAACUUCAGCGUGCUGCAACUUUAUACCAACUGUUCCUGUCCUGGCACCCAGCUCGGUCCCAGUCACAUCCUCAUCCCUCUGGCCAACAUGCUCAUCUCCGGGAUUGAGGGAUUGCAGACACCAGCAGCCCACCAGCUACACCACUUUGUCACCCUCUGCAUUAAUUUAAAUGAUGGAUCGAGAUACAGGUUAUCACAAGGUGAUUACAAUGCACUGGAUAAACCAUGACUCAGAGUGC
Molecule: long non-coding RNA, 694 nt
Organism: Cygnus atratus (black swan)
Lineage: Eukaryota; Metazoa; Chordata; Aves; Anseriformes; Anatidae
Exons: 3
Source: RefSeq, a predicted model, not a curated record